RNAcentral lists this ribosomal RNA (429 nucleotides) under Gemmatimonadota bacterium. Its description in RNAcentral is "Gemmatimonadetes bacterium partial 16S ribosomal RNA". It matches the Rfam family "Bacterial small subunit ribosomal RNA", at positions 355 to 776 of the family's 1533-position model. Lineage: Bacteria; Pseudomonadati; Gemmatimonadota. The record is from RNAcentral.
UAGGGAAUCUUCGGCAAUGGACGAAAGUCUGACCGAGCAACGCCGCGUGAGUGAAGAAGGUUUUCGGAUCGUAAAACUCUGUUGUUAGAGAAGAACAAGGACGUUAGUAACUGAACGUCCCCUGACGGUAUCUAACCAGAAAGCCACGGCUAACUACGUGCCAGCAGCCGCGGUAAUACGUAGGUGGCAAGCGUUGUCCGGAUUUAUUGGGCGUAAAGCGAGCGCAGGCGGUUUCUUAAGUCUGAUGUGAAAGCCCCCGGCUAAACCGGGGAGGGUCAUUGGAAACUGGGAGACUUGAGUGCAGAAGAGGAGAGUGGAUUUCCAUGUGUAGCGGUGAAAUGCGUAGAUAUAUGGAGGAACACCAGUGGCGAAGGCGGCUCUCUGGUCUGUAACUGACGCUGAGGCUCGAAAGCGUGGGGAGCAAACAGG